RNAcentral lists this long non-coding RNA (1006 nucleotides) under Triticum aestivum (bread wheat). RNAcentral's name for it is "long non-coding RNA (TAES_LNC027532)". Lineage: Eukaryota; Viridiplantae; Streptophyta; Magnoliopsida; Poales; Poaceae. The record is from RNAcentral.
GGCUAUAAGAAAGACUAAACCUAGGGUUCAUACAUUUGCAACUAUAUGAAAUAGAAAUACACACAUUUUCACACUAUGCAUUAACCACCUACUAAUUUUGCAAAACAUACAUCUUCACAAAUUUGCAAUACAUUAACCAUCUACGAAUUUUGUUAUGCCUUUAUCCUCACAAUCUUGCAUUCAACAUACAGAAAGAUUUCUUAUAAAAUUCAUAUAUACAUCACAAAAUAAAAUGGACCAACAUAUAUGCAUUCACCAACAUAUCCUCACAUAUCUUGCAAUUGUUUCACCCACACAUCCUCACAUAGGCGCUUCGGUACCCGAGUCGAGGGGAGGAGGAAGAACGGGCUGGUGGGUGGGGUAGGGCCCGCCCGCAGCAUCACUUGCCUCUUCGGUACCUACCGCCACCACCUCGGGCGGUAGGCCACCGAAGCCUACCGCCUCAAACUGUGGCGGUAGGCCCUUUCCCCCGUCAGUACGCGCCGACGGCCGUCAGUCGUCGUUAGAGGGCCUACCGCCACUGAUGAUGGCGGUAGGACGUGCAAACCUACCGCCGGCCCUCCUGACGGUAGUCAAAAGGGUCAGAUCCCGAAAUAGUUUUAGACAGGGGUCAGAUCUUGAAUUUCUUUGUAAAAAGGGUCAAAACACGAAAUUUUGCCUCAAAUGUCCUCUCGACGAAUCAUUCAUGGGUAUGGCCGGCAUUACCUUUCUCCCGGUCAUGUCCUUUUCUCAGAAGGGCAUGGGCUGAUUGUACACCUGGUGAGCCCCCGGUCGUCUGAUUGACAGUGUAUGGCUGAUAUAUGAUGGCCCGUCCCGUGAUGAUACUCCGGUUCACCACCCCUCACUCUUGCAAACUUUCUCCAGUGUGUGGCUGAUAUAUGACGGCCGAGGAUCGCCGGUUCACCACCACUCACUCUUGCAAACCACACUCGAGUUCGCCAGCUUUCCAUUUGUUCUCUGCUAAUCAGCCCAACCUCUAGCGAGUUGCAAAUCUCGUGACUGUGAG